Long non-coding RNA from Mustela lutreola (European mink), 362 nucleotides. RefSeq lists it as uncharacterized. The transcript has 3 exons. The record is from RefSeq and is a predicted model, not a curated record. NCBI's taxonomy places the organism in Eukaryota, Metazoa, Chordata, Mammalia, Carnivora, Mustelidae.
UGUUGUCAUCCUUAUAUGUUGCCUGGAAUUGCAGAAGCCAGUCUUAGCACCUUGAGGAGGUGCUUGCCUCAGGGGAGAGGCCAGCAUGCUUAUAUUUGCAGAGUAGACAGAUGGAAAACACCUGGGUCCUUCAUGAUGUCUGUGAAUUACCAGUUGCCAAAAUAAGCUGAAGUCUGACAAUUGCUCAGUAGGACCAGACACGGGCCUGCUCACUUGGUUUCACUUGCCAAUGACCACUCUCUUGAUACAUCCAAGCCCAGGGGAGUACCAGUGGAGGUAGCCAUUUCAGGCUCAGGACAUCUAGUGGACAUGCACCAUCUACUGCAGAAGGCCAUCCGAGCAACAGCUUCUGCAAACCCGAG